CCCUUUCUGAUUCGCUGAGCUGUGCUUGUAGGCUCUUAGCUGUGUGUGCAAGUCACCCCGCGUGUAUAAUAACGACAAGAGUGGCGAUGUAGGCGUGUUUCCCGCUUUGUUGCACCUGAUCCUCACACCAACCCUGUGAGCGUAUGUAAGGAGCGUGUAAAUCAUCACCGGAUUCUAACAGCAAGUAAGAAGCUAAACAAACUGAAAAUUCAACAACCCUCCCCAGAUUCAGCAGGAAAGCGGAGGUCACAGGGCAAAGUGCUGCCCUGGACAUCGGAGAAACACGCACAGACACAGAGUCACAACUCACCGGAGCACAGAGACCUCCAUGGGAGCCAGCAGCAGCGGAGGGAAACCUGAACUCUAGUGGACAGGUUGCUGGGGCUCAGCGCGGGCGAGUCUGAGUUCCAGGGGAUCCGAGUGCUUUUGCUGAGUUUUGGCUCCAGCAGCUCUCACCUGGAUUCUCACAGGGAAAAUGCCCUCAGGCUGCCAGCAGGGGGAGGCGGAAGUGGCCGUGUGAAAUAGGCCAGACGGAGCGUGCUGCUCUUCACCAGGCCUGCGUUCAGGAGAAGCUGUCUUCCCAGAGCCUCUGCUGGGGUUCUAGCAGAGCUUCGUCCAUCUGGGGAAGGGGAACAGCCAACUCCAGCCCACUCUAGCCAUCUCGUCCCACCUACGGGAGAGACAACCGAGAAGCACUCGUGGAGGUCACAGCCCAGGGACACAGACUCGCUAGAAGACGGAGACCUGAUCAUAGGCCUGUGGAGCACUCCCCCUGCCCCCACGCCUCACCACCACCCCAGUAACGGCCUGCUUACCAGGGUUCCUUUCCCCCCAUAUACCAUGUCUGGCUUUCACCAACAAUAACAAAAGCUUACAAGGCAUACCAAAGGCAAAAAUUACGGUCUGAAGAGACAGAACCAGAUUCAUGUAUGGCAGGAAAUGUUGGAAUUCUCAGGCCAGGAAUUUAAAACAACUGUGAUUAAUAUGCUAAGGGUGCUAAUGAAUAAAGUAAGACAACAUGUAAGAACAGAUGGGUAACAUAAGCAAAGAUAUGGAAAGUCUAAGAAGGAAUGUUUUAAAUGCUACAGGUCAAAUGCACAGUAACAGGCAUGCUCUUGAUGGCUUGAUUAGUAGACUGGACAUGGCUGAGGAAAAAUCUCUGAGAUUGAGACUAUGUCAAUAGAAACUUACAACAUUAAAAAUCAAAGAGA
Long non-coding RNA from Myotis daubentonii (Daubenton's bat), 1211 nucleotides. RefSeq lists it as uncharacterized. The record is from RefSeq and is a predicted model, not a curated record. NCBI's taxonomy places the organism in Eukaryota, Metazoa, Chordata, Mammalia, Chiroptera, Vespertilionidae.